GGGAGGCAGCAGUGGGGAAUAUUGCACAAUGGGCGAAAGCCUGAUGCAGCGACGCCGCGUGAGGGAUGACGGCCUUCGGGUUGUAAACCUCUUUCAGCAGGGAAGAAGCGAAAGUGACGGUACCUGCAGAAGAAGCGCCGGCUAACUACGUGCCAGCAGCCGCGGUAAUACGUAGGGCGCAAGCGUUGUCCGGAAUUAUUGGGCGUAAAGAGCUCGUAGGCGGCUUGUCACGUCGGUUGUGAAAGCCCGGGGCUUAACCCCGGGUCUGCAGUCGAUACGGGCAGGCUAGAGUUCGGUAGGGGAGAUCGGAAUUCCUGGUGUAGCGGUGAAAUGCGCAGAUAUCAGGAGGAACACCGGUGGCGAAGGCGGAUCUCUGGGCCGAUACUGACGCUGAGGAGCGAAAGCGUGGGGAGCGAACAGGAUUAGAUACCCUGGUAGUCCACGCCGUAAACGGUGGGCACUA
This 463-nucleotide ribosomal RNA is filed under the name Streptomyces andamanensis. RNAcentral's name for it is "bacterial SSU rRNA". It matches the Rfam family "Bacterial small subunit ribosomal RNA", at positions 343 to 818 of the family's 1533-position model. Lineage: Bacteria; Bacillati; Actinomycetota; Actinomycetes; Kitasatosporales; Streptomycetaceae. The record is from RNAcentral.